AGACGUGUGUUCUUCCAAUCUGCGUGUCUUGCGACGAUCCAAGAAUUUCACCUCUAACGUUGUAUUACGAGUGGCCCCGAUCGCUCCCUUCGAUCAUUGCCUCGUCGUGAACGGAGACCGACGGAUGACGCGCGGACGAGGCCAUUUUCCAUCA
Molecule: long non-coding RNA, 154 nt
Organism: Octopus sinensis (East Asian common octopus)
Lineage: Eukaryota; Metazoa; Mollusca; Cephalopoda; Octopoda; Octopodidae
Exons: 4
Source: RefSeq, a predicted model, not a curated record